AACAAGGCGUACCUGCGGACCUGCGGAGGGAUCAUUAUCCAUCCAAAACCAGCUGCGGUCGCGGCCCCACGCUUACCCGUGGCGGUACGCGCCGCACGUCUGCACCCUUUUUUUACGAGUACCUUCGUUCUCCCUCGGCAGGGCAACCUGCCGUUGGAACCAUACAAAACCUUUUUUUGCAUCUAGCAUUACCUGUUCUGAUACAAACAAUCGUUACAACUUUCAACAACGGAUCUCAGA
RNAcentral lists this unclassified non-coding RNA (240 nucleotides) under soil metagenome. RNAcentral's name for it is "partial contains 5.8S ribosomal RNA, internal transcribed spacer 2, and large subunit ribosomal RNA". The record is from RNAcentral.